This 102-nucleotide non-coding RNA is filed under the name Yersinia mollaretii. RNAcentral describes it as "Yersinia sRNA 190". It matches the Rfam family "Yersinia sRNA 190". The record is from RNAcentral. Lineage: Bacteria; Pseudomonadati; Pseudomonadota; Gammaproteobacteria; Enterobacterales; Yersiniaceae.
GCUAAUUGCUACGAUAUCAUUAUAAUGCCCGACCUUAGUACCGAUCGCAGUGUCAAAUUCAUCGUAAAAAGGUGACAAAUCGGUGACAGCAGGUUAUUUUUU